UGCCCCAUGGCUGAGUUGGUUACAGCGUCCGACUGUUAUUGAUGCGAUCGGAAGGUCGUGAGUUCGAGCCUCACUGGGGCAG
This 82-nucleotide transfer RNA is filed under the name Peniophora sp. CONT. It matches the Rfam family "tRNA". From Rfam's summary of the family: Transfer RNA (tRNA) molecules are approximately 80 nucleotides in length. Their secondary structure includes four short double-helical elements and three loops (D, anti-codon, and T loops). Further hydrogen bonds mediate the characteristic L-shaped molecular structure. tRNAs have two regions of fundamental functional importance: the anti-codon, which is responsible for specific mRNA codon recognition, and the 3' end, to which the tRNAs corresponding amino acid is attached (by aminoacyl-tRNA synthetases). tRNAs cope with the degeneracy of the genetic code in two manners: having more than one tRNA (with a specific anti-codon) for a particular amino acid; and 'wobble' base-pairing, i.e. permitting non-standard base-pairing at the 3rd anti-codon position. Lineage: Eukaryota; Fungi; Basidiomycota; Agaricomycetes; Russulales; Peniophoraceae. The record is from Rfam by way of RNAcentral.